RNAcentral lists this ribosomal RNA (404 nucleotides) under uncultured prokaryote. Its description in RNAcentral is "bacterial SSU rRNA". It matches the Rfam family "Bacterial small subunit ribosomal RNA", at positions 355 to 776 of the family's 1533-position model. The record is from RNAcentral. RNAcentral also lists the same sequence under 1 other name.
UGGGGAAUAUUGGGCAAUGGGCGAAAGCCUGACCCAGCAACGCCGCGUGAAGGAAGAAGGCUUUCGGGUUGUAAACUUCUUUGACGAGGGACGAUAAUGACGGUACCUCGAAAACAAGCCACGGCUAACUACGUGCCAGCAGCCGCGGUAAUACGUAGGUGGCAAGCGUUGUCCGGAUUUACUGGGUGGAAAGGGCGCGUAGGCGGGAGUACAAGUCAGAUGUGAAAUCUGGGGGCUUAACCCUCAAACUGCAUUUGAAACUGUAUUUCUUGAGUAUCGGAGAGGCAGGCGGAAUUCCUAGUGUAGCGGUGAAAUGCGUAGAUAUUAGGGGGAACACCAGUGGCGAAGGCGGCCUGCUGGACGACAACUGACGCUGAGGCGCGAAAGCGUGGGGAGCAAACAGG